Molecule: ribosomal RNA, 241 nt
Filed under: uncultured Variovorax sp.
Lineage: Bacteria; Pseudomonadati; Pseudomonadota; Betaproteobacteria; Burkholderiales; Comamonadaceae
Description: partial 16S ribosomal RNA
Rfam family: Bacterial small subunit ribosomal RNA
Source: RNAcentral
CACAGGUGCUGCAUGGCUGUCGUCAGCUCGUGUCGUGAGAUGUUGGGUUAAGUCCCGCAACGAGCGCAACCCUUUUCGUUUGUUGCCACCUUUAAUUGGGCCCUUUAAGGGGACUGCCGGGUGCAAACCGGAGGAAGGGGGGGAUGACGUCAAGUCCUCAUGGCCCUUAUAGGUGGGGCUUCACACGUCAUACAAUGGCCGGUACAAAGGGUUGCCAACCCCCGAGGGGGAGCUAAUCCCA